Long non-coding RNA from Chenopodium quinoa (quinoa), 2644 nucleotides. RefSeq lists it as uncharacterized. The record is from RefSeq and is a predicted model, not a curated record. The transcript is spliced from 3 exons. NCBI's taxonomy places the organism in Eukaryota, Viridiplantae, Streptophyta, Magnoliopsida, Caryophyllales, Amaranthaceae.
UACAAUGAAACGAAGAGAACGAGGCUGGAUGUAUGAUAGGCUUGAUGUACAUACUCUGAAGUCCGAUCUCUUAAAAGGAGUUGAAGAAUUUGUUAAGUUUUGUAAACUCCAUCCUGAGAAUAAAAACCCUAGAGAGAUUAGAUUUCCUUGUCCUCAGUGCAAGCAUAAAUGUCUCCUAGAUGAGGACAUAGUGAGAGUACAUAUAUAUAAGAAGGGGUUUGUUCCUAAUUAUUACAAUUGGUUGUAUCAUGGUGAAAGAAUUCAUGGUGCUAGUUGAUCUGCUUCAAAUCCUUAUCAGGAGAUGGUUAUUGAUGCGUUUGGGAGUAACCAAGAUGACUUUGGUGAAGAAGAGGCAAAUAACAUCCUAGAAGAACCAAAUGCAAGGGCAAAGCAGUUUUUUGAUCUUCUUGAAUCCGCUGAACAACCAUUGUGUGAUGGUAGCAAAAUGUCAGUGUUGGAGUUGGCUUCUAGAAUUAUUGCAUUGAAAUGUGAAUACAAUUUGGCACAUAGAUGUAUUGAUGGUUUCACUUCUUUGCAGAAUGAAGUUGUGCCCGACAACAACAACAUACGUUCUACCUUCUAUGACACGAAAAAGGUUGUUAAGGGAUUGGAACUUCCUCAUCACAAGGUCCAUGCAUGUCCUAAGGGUUGCAUGCUUUUUUGGAAAGGGGAUACUGAAUUACAAAGAUGUAAAAUUUGUGACUUUGAGAGAUACAAGAAAACAUCUAGGGGCACCUUGGUUCCUUUGAAAGUUCUUACCUAUUUCCCGAUCACACCAAGGUUGCAAAGACUGUUCUAAUCCAAGAAUGUUGCGGAUGAGAUGACUUGGCAUGUAGAGAACCCCCGAAUUCAGAACACAAUGGCUCAUCCUAGUGAUAGUGAAGCGUGGAAGCACUUUGAUAGAACUUUUCCUGAUUUUGCCUCUGAGCCCCAUAAUGUUCGGUUGGGUUUGUGCACCGACGAUUUUGCACCGCAUGGUAAUUUUGGUGGGCAUUACUCUUGUUGGCCUGUCAUUCUUACACCUUACAAUUUGCCUCCUUCCAUGUGCAUGAAAAAACCAUUCAUGUUUCUUUCAUUGCUUAUUCCGGGCCCGAAAAAUCCAAAAGGAAACUUGGAUGUGUAUAUGCAACCUCUAAUUGAAGAGCUUAAGCAGUUGUGGGAAACUGGUGCCACGACUUACGACAUCUCAAGGAGACAAAACUUUAACCUUCGAGCUGCAAUCUUGUGGACCAUUAGUGACUUUCCAGCUUAUGGAAUGCUUUCAGGAUGGACUACAGCCGGGAAAAAAAGCAUGUCCUUACUGUAUGGAUAAAAGCAAAGCCUUUGGGUUAAACAUGGAGGUAAAGUUUCGUGGUUUUAUUGUCAUCGUCAAUUUCUCGAUUUGAAUCACCCUUACAGAAGAAAUAGAACCGCAUUUUGUAAGAACAGAGUUGAAAAGAACUCACCACCACACAUAAUGUCCGAAGAUGAGUUGUGGCACAUGGUGAAGUACUUGCCAAAAGCCAAAUAUGGACCCGAAGCACUUAAACGGUUGAAGAAGGCAAAAAAAGGGUGGUUCAAACAAACUUCUUUUUGGGAAUUGACGUAUUGGAAGCAUUUGUUGAUUAGGUACAACUUAGAUGUUAUGAACAUUAACAAGAACUUCUUUGAUAAAUUGAUUCAUACAAUGAUGGAUGUGAAGAAGCAUACCUCAGACACGACAACUUCAAGAAAAGAUUUGGCAGAAUAUUGCAAGCGGCCCCAACUAGAAUUAGUUGAAGAUGAAAGGGGAAAGAUAGCAUGCCGAAAGCACCAUUCACACUUGAUAAAGCUCAUAAAAAGGUAUUAUGUGAGUGGGUCCAAAAUUUGAGGUUUUCAGAUGGCUAUGCUUCUGACUUGACAAGAUGUGUUGCCUUACAAUCAUGUAAGUUGCAUGGCAUGAAAAGCCAUGACUUUCAUGUCUUCAUGGAACGAUUACUACCGGUUUCUUUGAAGGAAUUUCUUCCUGAUCAAGUUUGGAAAGCAAUUACCGAGAUCAGUUAGUUCUUUCGAGAUUUGUGUUCUUCUACAAUUACUUUGAGUGACAUGGAACGUUUGGAGAGUAACAUUGCUGAGAUUCUUUGCAAGUUAUAGAAGAUUUUUCCUCCAUCCUUUUUCAUUUCCAUGGAACACUUACCUGUUCACUUACCAUAUGAGGCACGAUUGUGUGGCCCAGUUCAUUAUCGGUGGAUGUAUCCAUUUGAGAGGUUCCUUAACCACUUGAAACGCAUGGUUGGAAAUAAGGCUCGUGUUGAAGGUUCUAUAUGCAAUGCUUAAUUAUGUGAGGAGAUUACGAAUUUUUGUUCUAAAUACUUUCAACUUGAGAUUGACACAAAAUCAAGAGACUUGGGAAGGAAUGUAACCACAGGAUCUGACCUUGAAAUGCAUGAUGAUCAUGUCUCAGAAAUGUUUAGGGUAGAUUGCGGUCGUGUGCCUAAUGAUGGUCGUCGUCGAUUUUUAGAUGAUGCCGAGUACGACUGAGCCCAUCUUUAUGUUUUAGCAAAUAGUGGCAUUAUAGGCGAAUAUGAAAGGCAAUUUGAGGAACAUGUUGUUCAUACACGACCAAGCAUAAAACCCGAGGAAGUUUGGGGAAAGUGUGAGCAUGAGUUUCCUAAGUGGUUUAAGU